CAGCAGGGUGUAGCAAUACAUCGCUGGCGACCGGCAAACGGGUGCGGAACACGUACACAACCUUCCUUUGAGUGGGGAAUAGCCCAGGGAAACUUGGAUUAAUACCCCGUAACAUAUAGAUGAGGCAUCUCAAUUAUAUUAUAGCUACGGCGCUUGAAGAUGGGUGUGCGGCUGAUUAGGUAGUUGGCGGGGUAAUGGCCCACCAAGCCUACGAUCAGUAACUGGUGUGAGAGCACGACCAGUCACACGGGCACUGAGACACGGGCCCGACUCCUACGGGAGGCAGCAGUAAGGAAUAUUGGUCAAUGGACGCAAGUCUGAACCAGCCAUGCCGCGUGGAGGAUGAAGGUCCUCUGGAUUGUAAACUUCUUUUAUCUGGGACGAAAAAAGGGAAUUCUUUCUCACUUGACGGUACCAGAUGAAUAAGCACCGGCUAACUCCGUGCCAGCAGCCGCGGUAAUACGGAGGGUGCAAGCGUUAUCCGGAUUCACUGGGUUUAAAGGGUGCGUAGGUGGGCUAGUAAGUCAGUGGUGAAAUCUCCGGGCUUAACCCGGAAACUGCCAUUGAUACUAUUAGUCUUGAAUACCAUGGAGGUGAGCGGAAUAUGUCAUGUAGCGGUGAAAUGCUUANAUAUGACAUAGAACACCAAUUGCGAAGGCAGCUCGCUACGCGGUUAUUGACACUGAGGCACGAAAGCGUGGGGAUCAAACAGGAUUAGAUACCCUGGUAGUCCACGCCCUAAACGAUGGAUACUCGACAUCAGCGAUACACUGUUGGUGUCUGAGCGAAAGCAUUAAGUAUCCCACCUGGGAAGUACGACCGCCAAGGUUGAAACUCAAAGGAAUUGACGGGGGUCCCCAUAAGCGGUGGAGCAUGUGGUUUAAUUCGAUGAUACGCGA
Molecule: ribosomal RNA, 899 nt
Filed under: uncultured Flavobacteriia bacterium
Lineage: Bacteria; Pseudomonadati; Bacteroidota; Flavobacteriia
Description: bacterial SSU rRNA
Rfam family: Bacterial small subunit ribosomal RNA
Source: RNAcentral